Podarcis lilfordi (Lilford's wall lizard) is the source of this 70-nucleotide non-coding RNA. Lineage: Eukaryota; Metazoa; Chordata; Lepidosauria; Squamata; Lacertidae. The record is from the annotation of a GenBank genome assembly.
GGAUAGCUCAGUUGGUUACAGCGUGGUGCUGAUAAUGCCAAGGUCGUAGGUUCGAUCCUCGCAUGGGACA